UAAGUUUUUUUUUUUUUUACUCUUUCUUUUAAAAAGAUACAUUUAUUCUCAUUUUGGUGUAAAUUUAUUCUUAAUAAAAUAUGAAAUAUGGAUCUUGAAUGAAAGAUCAUAAAAAUACUUUUAAUUCGACACGUGGUAGGUAAAAAAUGAAUACGAAUUAAACAAAUUAUUAUCAUUCAAAUGUUUUAAAUAUUCUUUCAAAUAAUAGCAUAUUAAAU
This 218-nucleotide long non-coding RNA is filed under the name Salvia miltiorrhiza (redroot sage). RNAcentral's name for it is "long non-coding RNA (SMIL_LNC009553)". The record is from RNAcentral. Lineage: Eukaryota; Viridiplantae; Streptophyta; Magnoliopsida; Lamiales; Lamiaceae.